GCAUUGAUGGUCUAAUGGUUAGGAUUGCUGCCUUCCAUGAUCCGAUAGCAGCAGGUUCGGGUUCAAUUCCCGUACGUGAU
Non-coding RNA from Tothia fuscella, 80 nucleotides. The record is from the annotation of a GenBank genome assembly. Lineage: Eukaryota; Fungi; Ascomycota; Dothideomycetes; Venturiales; Cylindrosympodiaceae.